GACGAACUGUCCUAACGUUGUUCGGAAUCACUGGGCUUAAGGGCGCGUAGGCGGUCCGACAAGUCAGGGGUGAAAUCCUGCAGCUCAACUGUAGCAGUGCCUCUGAUACUGCCGGUCUCGAGGGAGAUAGGGGUGUGCGGAACUUCCAGUGGAGCGGUGAAAUGCGUUGAUAUUGGAAGGAACGCCGGUGGCGAAAGCGGCGCACUGGAUCUCUUCUGACGCUGAGGCGCGAAAGCUAGGGGAGCAAACGGG
RNAcentral lists this ribosomal RNA (252 nucleotides) under uncultured bacterium. RNAcentral describes it as "partial 16S ribosomal RNA". It matches the Rfam family "Bacterial small subunit ribosomal RNA", at positions 524 to 776 of the family's 1533-position model. The record is from RNAcentral.